This 2494-nucleotide long non-coding RNA is filed under the name Homo sapiens (human). RNAcentral describes it as "HSALNT0055070". Lineage: Eukaryota; Metazoa; Chordata; Mammalia; Primates; Hominidae. The record is from RNAcentral.
CAGAGAAUGAAAUAAAGGAGUACAAUUCAUGGACUUUAUGAUAGCUUUUUUCAGUUGAUGUGAAGAUCUGUGGACUUCCUUCCAGAAGGCAGAAGAUUACUGGCAUACUGCCAAGGCAAAGUCAUUGUACCUACACUAGUUUCUGCAAAUUGGAACAUAAUAAAUUCUCAAUGACCCAUGAUCUGAUUCUUAACAGGGACUAAUAAAGAAUAAGUAAAGAGUACUUUGUUGACAAGUUUUCCCUUACUUUCCUUUUCCACCAUUCUUACAUCUAGUCUGCCCUGUGCACCAAAGCACUUAUUUCUCCAUUGCAGGAGUUGUGAAGCAGAACCACAGGAAGGCAGCUCAACCAGGGGGAUCCUGUUGCUUACCUCCAGUACGUGAGGGGGUGGCAAGGACUCUGGCCCCACGGCAAGAAGACCAACCCUACUGAAGAAUUCUCUACAUAUGGACCAUGAUAUGCAGCUAGAAAUCACCAAGCAGAGAUGUUCCAAGUAUCAAUUUUGUGACAGGAGUAUUUAGAAGAGAAGCAUCAUGAUGCUUGCAUCUUACAUUCAAGUGGUUUGACAAAAACAUCGACAUUAAUUCCUUGAGUUUCUUUUCUACAAAAGCACUGGCUAUUAAUUCUGAAACAACUUUCUGUGUAUUCUAAAAAGGCUCAAAUAAAUACGUUGCAGAUAAAUGAAGCCACUUUUCUCACUGUUGAAGAAGAAAAUUACAGAUAUGAAAACAGACAGGGUCUGCUCUGUUGGCCAGGCUGGAGCGCAGUGUCACAAUGUCUACUCACUGCAGGCUCUACCUCCUGGGCUCAAGCGAUUCUCACACCUCAGCCUCAAGAAUGGCUCAGACUACAGGCAUGUACCUCUGUGCCUGGCUAAGAUUUGUAGUUUUUUGGUAGACACAGGGUCUCACUAUGUUGCCCAGGCUGGUCUUGAACUCUAUAGUGUUUGAUCAUAGAAGUGGAGAUACUAACCAAAAAUCUUUUCAAAUUAAGCCUAAUAAACACAGACAUAAUAAUCUGACUAUAUUCAAACAAAUCGAAUAGUUAGUGUGCAGAUCCUCUUUCUAGAAAACCAAGUGCCAUUUUUUAAAAAAUCAAAGACUUAAUGAGCAAUUCUUUUUGUGCAAAGGUUGAUCAAGGGCUCACUGUAUUUUAUAUGGUUGUGUGGGAAAAUGCAUUACUAGUUUAUUAUGGCUUGGGUCCAUUCUCAAGGUGCCUCGUUUUUGUCCUAGAAAUGGAGUUUCUAUAUCAAUCUGCUUCAUAACCUUGGGGAGUCUUGUGAUGAGUACUGGUGGAAAAGCGUUUAGAUGAAGAUAAAUGAAAGCCUUACUAAGCCAAAUUCAUUUUAUUUAGACAUGCAAGUCACAUGGAAAUAAAUGUUAUUUAGGAGUAAUGUAAGUUGUAAAUCUGUUUUUUCCUUAACAUGAAUUGUAUAUGUUUAGAACUGCCUGGUGUAUAGUCUGGGCCAGGGGCCAGUUUUUCUCGGACUAAGGCUAAAUCCUGUAAAUUCACACUAUAAAUGAACUGACAGAAUACUUACCUACAUAAUAUCCUAAAUUAAAUUUGGCAUCACCAAAUAUCUUCAAAAGAGUGACUGGAGAUUCAACUUAAACUCUGACCUUUGCUCAACUGAACUCUGACACACUGAUCCACUUGGUAAAGGGCCAAAUCAAAGAUUUUUUUCCCAAGUUCUAUUUUGCAUGUGCAUACUUGUGGAAAGCUGACCUAGCCAUAACAUAUGGCAUGUCAUCAACUGAUAGAAGUGACCUGGCAAGUGGAUGUGUCCUCUUUCCAUUGCCAUCACUCUUCUCUUUAGAAUGUCUAGUCAUUGCAGGCUUGGUUGAUGAGAACAACCUUCACAAUGCAGGAAGAUCAUCUUUCCAUUGUGGGUACGUGUGGCCAUGUCAAAUAGCUUAAGGUAGCAGCCUCUUAUUGUCAAUUCUUACCCCUUUGCCACUCUUUCUGAACUGCCAGCUUCCUUCUCAACAGCUGGAUCUUUUUGGCUCUUUUACUUUCACCAUUGUUCUUUUCUUUCACUAGAAACUCCCUCUGCUACCACUGUUCACCCCUGUGCAAAGAAUUUCCAAACCUAGUUCCUAUCUUCUGUCUAUAGCCUUCUUGUGUAUCUUAUCUCUGUAUCUCUCAGGUCAAUAAAACAUCUGAGAAAUAAAUGAAAAUGAUUUGUUGGUUCUAGUUUCUGUUCUGCACAUCCAGCUGCAUCUCCAGUUCCUAGGGUGACCGUAUAAAAUUGGGACAGCUUUGAAUAUGAAAGAGAGCACUUUUGACGAUAAUUAUGCUGGGACAAUAGCCAUAAAUGGUUCCAGGCAAACCCAUGGUCACUCUUCCUGUUUAGCAUGUGCCAAAUUAAAACCAUCACAGCUACCACCAGGACACCUUUUCUUCCAGAAAUAAAUAUUUCUAAAUUUUCAGUCACUCAGGGUCAAAUGCUGGAGUCAUAGCUGACUUCCAUCUCUCUCCCAUAUUUAAUGUCUC